UGGGCUAUGGUGUAAUUGGCAACACGGCGGUUUCUGGUUCCGUUGUUCUAGGUUCGAGUCCUGGUAGCCCAG
This 72-nucleotide transfer RNA is filed under the name Streptomyces beijiangensis. It matches the Rfam family "tRNA". Rfam says of the family: Transfer RNA (tRNA) molecules are approximately 80 nucleotides in length. Their secondary structure includes four short double-helical elements and three loops (D, anti-codon, and T loops). The record is from Rfam by way of RNAcentral. Lineage: Bacteria; Bacillati; Actinomycetota; Actinomycetes; Kitasatosporales; Streptomycetaceae. RNAcentral also lists the same sequence under 15 other names.